GCCGUAGUUCAGCGGUAGAGCAUCUUCUUUUCAUGCAGAAGGUGCUACGUUUAAUCCCUGGCAUCUCCA
Podarcis lilfordi (Lilford's wall lizard) is the source of this 69-nucleotide non-coding RNA. The record is from the annotation of a GenBank genome assembly. Lineage: Eukaryota; Metazoa; Chordata; Lepidosauria; Squamata; Lacertidae.